RNAcentral lists this long non-coding RNA (585 nucleotides) under Rattus norvegicus (Norway rat). RNAcentral describes it as "long non-coding RNA NONRATT032390". The record is from RNAcentral. Lineage: Eukaryota; Metazoa; Chordata; Mammalia; Rodentia; Muridae.
GUGGCAAGCAGUAAAUGAACCUGUAACAUCACAGGAGUGAGGCUGGCAGACAGUGAAUACACCUGUGACAUCAUAGGAGAGAAGUCAGCUAACAGUGAAGGAGCCAGGGACAUUACAGGAGCAAGGUUGGCUGGCAGGCGGUAGAGCAACAUGAACAAGCUUUUAAGGAAUUAAUCUGGUGUGGGAAACUGCUUCCUGGCAGCUCUGAGACUUGGGAGCUGAAUAUGUUGUUGUCUCUGCCCAGUCUAGAAGCAGAUCAUCUGUCCUUGUCAGGACUCCUGAGAGAUUGUUGGACGUGAACUUGGGUAUCGCAGAGCAAAUCUUUCAACAAUAACAGAACAGAGAGUGAGUUGUAAGGUAGAGCUACUGAGUGAGCAAACUGCUCUAUUUCCCUCCACAAUGCAUCUGUGUGAACACACAGCCUCCCCCCCAUCCCGCUCUCUCUUCAUCAGAAUCCAAAUAUAAACCUAUUCAUUUAACCAUUUCCCAUUAGCAGCUUCUUUUGCUGUGACUAAUGCGUAACUAUUUCCGGUUGACUACAUUCACAAAUGACUAUAAAAGAAAUUCCAGGAAACUCAAGUUUAU